AUUGAACGCUGGCGGCAGGCCUAACACAUGCAAGUCGAGCGGAGCGGCUGACGGGUGAGUAAUGCCAAGGCAUCUGCCUGGUCGUGGGGGCUAACGUCCGGAAACGGGCGCUAAUACCGCAUACUAUCAGAUAAGCCUAGGUCGGAUUAGUUAGUUGGUGUGGUAAAGGCCUACCAAGGCGACGAUCCGUAACAGGUCUGAGAGGAUGAUCAGGCACACUGGAACUGAGACACGGUCCAGACUCCUACGGGAGGAAGCAGUGGGGAAUAUUGGACAAGGGGCGAAAGCCUGAUCCAGCCAUGCCGCGUGUGUGAAGAAGGUCUUCGGAUGGUAAAGCACUUUAAGUUGGGAGGCGUUACCAACAGAAUAAGCACCGGCUAACUUCGUGCCAGCAGACGCGGUAAUAC
This 407-nucleotide ribosomal RNA is filed under the name uncultured bacterium. RNAcentral's name for it is "partial 16S ribosomal RNA". It matches the Rfam family "Bacterial small subunit ribosomal RNA", at positions 30 to 526 of the family's 1533-position model. The record is from RNAcentral.